AACGAACGCUGGCGGCAUGCCUAACACAUGCAAGUCGAACGAGACCUUCGGGUCUUGUGGCGCACGUGUGCGUAACGCGUGGGAACCUGCCCUUAGGUUCGGUAUCACUCCCCGAAGGGGAUGCUAAUACCGCUUAGUCUCUUCCCACCUAAGAUUUAUCGCCUUUUGAUGGGCCCGCGUUGGAUUAGCUAGUUGGUAGGGUACAAGCCUACCAAGGCGACGAUGCAUAGCUGGUCUGUUAGGAUGAUCAACUACAAUGGACAUGAGACACGGCCCAGACUGCGACGGAGGGGAGCAGUGGGGAAUAUUAGACAAUGGGCGAAAGCCUGAUCAAGCAAUGCCGCGGGUGAGAGGAAGGCCGUAGGGUUGUAAAGCUCUUUGACCCGGGAUGAGAAUGACAGUAACGGGAGAAGAAGCUCCGGCUAACUACGUG
Molecule: ribosomal RNA, 433 nt
Filed under: uncultured bacterium
Lineage: Bacteria
Description: partial 16S ribosomal RNA
Rfam family: Bacterial small subunit ribosomal RNA
Source: RNAcentral